Mobula hypostoma (lesser devil ray) is the source of this 796-nucleotide long non-coding RNA. RefSeq lists it as uncharacterized. The transcript is spliced from 3 exons. Lineage: Eukaryota; Metazoa; Chordata; Chondrichthyes; Myliobatiformes; Myliobatidae. The record is from RefSeq and is a predicted model, not a curated record.
UUCAGCGGGAGUUUUGAUCCCGAACCCGUGCGUGGUGCGGAAAAUGCUGCAUUACCUGUUCACUCUGUGCCAAUGCACCAUUAAUACCGCGGCAGCUCUGCUGUGGAAACGGGGACGGGGAGACACUUCACUGCAGAAUACUGCACCCAACAGUCAGUAAAACGGCCCCUUUAUUGUUCCUGGCAAGUAACGGCGGAAGAGGGCCGCGCACGCGCAGGCACGCCGCCAUCUUCUCCUCCCAUCUGAGUGCAACGGUAUUUCUGAGUCUCCACCCGGGACUUGCAUGACUGACAGGAGUGAAAACAAUGAGGAAACUACUGACAUGAUAGAGGAAGCCCGGAACACCAUCAGAGAUGGAAGACAUUCAUUGCUGCCCUAUAUACCAGCGGCGUAACGGACAAGGUACAGUGUGGAACAGCUCCUUCCAGCCCAACGAGCCGCACCACCAUCAUGACCAAUUAACCUACCAACCGGUACGUCUUUGUACUGUGGGAGGAAACUGGAGCACCCAGAGGAAACCCACACGGUUCACGGAGGAGAACGUACAAACUGCUUACAGGCUGCACCACAUUUGAACUCCAAGCUCCGUCACCCCAAUCUGUAAUAGCGUUGCGCUAACCAUGUGGUUUAACAGAGGUCAAUACGUUUUUGAUUAGCAAGGGUGUCAAAGGGUAUUAGAUUAUGAGAACACUCAGCCCUCUUCUAUUGUCAUUUAGAAAUGCAUACAUGCAUUAAGAAAUGAUACAAUGUUUCUCCGGAGUGAUAUCACAGAAAACAGGACAAACCAAAGACUAAC